This 1108-nucleotide long non-coding RNA is filed under the name Taeniopygia guttata (zebra finch). RNAcentral describes it as "lncRNA (ENSTGUG00000019791.1)". The record is from RNAcentral. Lineage: Eukaryota; Metazoa; Chordata; Aves; Passeriformes; Estrildidae.
CCGGGAUGCUCCAAGGUCCCGGGAUGUUCCAAAAGCCCUGGGAUGCUCCAAGGCCUUCGGGAGGCUCAAGGCCCUGGGAUGCUCUGAGCCCCUGCCAUGAUCCCAAACCCAGGAUGCUCCAAAACCCUGGGAUGCUCCAAAAUCCUGGGAUGCUCCAAAACCGUGGGAUGCUCCAAAACCCUGGGAUGCUCCAAAAUCCUGGGAUGCUCCAAAACUCCGGGAUCCUCCAAAACCCUGUAUGCUCCAAAACCCUGGGAUACUACAAAACCCUGGGAUACUCCAAAACCCCUGGGAUGCUCCAAAACCCUGGGAUACUCCAAAAGCUUCAGGAACUGCUGAUGCCUUUCCCUUCCCAGGAUUCUCUAAAAACCCCAGGAUGCUCCAAAACCCUCAGGAUGCUCCAAAACCCCUGGAAUUCUCCAAAACCUCCGGGACAUUCCAAAACCUCCAGGAUGCUCCGAAACCCUGGGAUGCUCCAAAACCCCAGGAUGCCCCAAAACCCCUGGAAUUCUCCAAACCCCCGGGACAUUCCAAAACCUCUAGGAUGCUCCAAAACCCUGGGAUGCUCCAAAACCCCGGGAUGCUCCAAAAAUCCCAGGAUGCCCCAAAACCCCUGGAAUUCUCCAAACCCCCGGGACAUUCCAAAACCCCCAGGAUGCUCCGAAACCCCCAGGAUGCUCCAAAACCCCCGGGAGCCCCGGGAUGCUCGAGCUGCCCGCAGACGCUGGGAUGCGGGUGCGGAGAAUCUCCCGGGAAAAGCAGCCGGGGGAGGGGGGGGGGGAACGGGCGGGGCGGGGCCGGUCCCCCCCCGAGGCCCCCGCCCGCCCUUCCGCACGUUCCUUCCUCCCCCCCGGCAUCCUCCUCCUCCUCCUCCUCCUCCUCCUCCUCCUCCUCCCGCCGCUCUCGCGACAGCUCCGCACAGAAAAUGGCCCCGCGGCCGCCCCGCCGCUGAUGCACGACCCGGGCGGCGCCGCAGCCCCGGCUCAGCCCCGGGUGGAGGGGGUCCCACAACCACGGGGCACCGAGGAGGAGGAGGAGGAGGAGGAGGAGGAAAAGAAGAGGAGGAGGAUGAGGGAGUCAGUGUGGCCCCGGGCUGGGAUCUGACCCC